AUGAACGCUGGCGGCGUGCCUAACACAUGCAAGUCGAACGAAGCGUCCGCCCGAAGAAGAGGAGUGCUUGCACAAAUCGGACUCAAUUGGGAUGACUUAGUGGCGGACGGGUGAGUAACGCGUGGGUAACCUGCCUCACGACAGGGGGAUAACAGUUAGAAAUGACUGCUAAUACCGCAUAAGCGCACACGUACCGCAUGGUAGAGUGUGAAAAACUUUCGUGGUGUGAGAUGGACCCCGCGUCUGAUUAGCCCAGUUGGCAGGGUAACGGCCUCCAAAGCAACGAUCAGUAGCCGGCCUGAGAGGGUGAACGGCCACAUUGGGACUGAGACACGGCCCAAACUCCUACGGGAGGCAGCAGUGGGGGAUAUUGCACAAUGGGGGAAACCCUGAUGCAGCGACGCCCGCGUGAGCGAUGAAGUAUCUCGGUAUGUAAAGCUCUAUCAGCAGGGAAGAAAAUGACGGUACCUGACUAAGAAGCUCCGGCUAAAUACGUGCCAGCCGCAGC
Molecule: ribosomal RNA, 508 nt
Filed under: uncultured bacterium
Lineage: Bacteria
Description: bacterial SSU rRNA
Rfam family: Bacterial small subunit ribosomal RNA
Source: RNAcentral